Molecule: ribosomal RNA, 465 nt
Filed under: uncultured bacterium
Lineage: Bacteria
Description: partial 16S ribosomal RNA
Rfam family: Bacterial small subunit ribosomal RNA
Source: RNAcentral
GACGAACGCUGGCGGUGUGCUUAACACAUGCAAGUCGAACGGUAAGGCCCUUUCGGGGGUACACGAGUGGCGAACGGGUGAGUAACACGUGAGUAACCUGCCCUCAUCUCUGGGAUAACAGUCGGAAACGGUUGCUAAUACUGGAUAUGAGCCUGCAAGGCAUCUUGUGGGUUGGAAAGAUUUUUUGGUUGGGGAUGGACUCGCGGCCUAUCAGCUUGUUGGUGAGGUAGUGGCUCACCAAGGCUUCGACGGGUAGCCGGCCUGAGAGGGCGACCGGCCACAUUGGGACUGAGAUACGGCCCAAACUCCUACGGGAGGCAGCAGUGGGGAAUAUUGCACAAUGGACGGAAGUCUGAUGCAGCAACGCCGCGUGCGGGAUGACGGCCUUCGGGUUGUAAACCGCUUUCAAUUGUGACGAAGCUUUUUGUGACGGUAGCAGUAGAAGAAGCACCGGCUAACUACGUA